UAGGGAAUCUUCCACAAUGGACGAAAGUCUGAUGGAGCAACGCCGCGUGAGUGAUGAAGGGUUUCGGCUCGUAAAACUCUGUUGUUGGAGAAGAACAGGUGAUAGAGUAACUGUUAUCAUCUUGACGGUAUCCAACCAGAAAGCCACGGCUAACUACGUGCCAGCAGCCGCGGUAAUACGUAGGUGGCAAGCGUUGUCCGGAUUUAUUGGGCGUAAAGCGAGCGCAGGCGGUUUUUUAGGUCUGAUGUGAAAGCCUUCGGCUUAACCGGAGAAGGGCAUCGGAAACCGGGAGACUUGAGUGCAGAAGAGGACAGUGGAACUCCAUGUGUAGCGGUGAAAUGCGUAGAUAUAUGGAAGAACACCAGUGGCGAAGGCGGCUGUCUGGUCUGUAACUGACGCUGAGGCUCGAAAGCAUGGGUAGCGAACAGGAUUAGAUACCCUUGGU
This 445-nucleotide ribosomal RNA is filed under the name uncultured bacterium. RNAcentral describes it as "partial 16S ribosomal RNA". It matches the Rfam family "Bacterial small subunit ribosomal RNA", at positions 355 to 791 of the family's 1533-position model. The record is from RNAcentral.